UACGGGGGGGGCAAGCGUUGUUCGGAAUUACUGGGCGUAAAGGGCUCGUAGGUUGCCAACUAAGUCAGACGUGAAAUCCCCCGGCUUAACCUGGGAACUGCGUCUGAUACUGGGAGGCUUGGGUAUGGGAGAGGGAUGUAGAAUUCCAGGUGUAGCGGUGAAAUGCGUAGAUAUCUGGAGGAAUACCGGUGGCGAAGGCGGCAUCCUGGACCAUUACUGACGCUGAGGCGCGAAAGCUAGGGGAGCAAACGGG
This 253-nucleotide ribosomal RNA is filed under the name uncultured bacterium. RNAcentral's name for it is "partial 16S ribosomal RNA". It matches the Rfam family "Bacterial small subunit ribosomal RNA", at positions 524 to 776 of the family's 1533-position model. The record is from RNAcentral.